UACGUAGGGUGCGAGCGUUGUCCGGAAUUAUUGGGCGUAAAGAGCUCGUAGGCGGUUUGUCGCGUCUGCCGUGAAAGUCCGGGGCUCAACUCCGGAUCUGCGGUGGGUACGGGCAGACUAGAGUGAUGUAGGGGAGACUGGAAUUCCUGGUGUAGCGGUGAAAUGCGCAGAUAUCAGGAGGAACACCGAUGGCGAAGGCAGGUCUCUGGGCAUUAACUGACGCUGAGGAGCGAAAGCAUGGGGAGCAAACAGG
RNAcentral lists this ribosomal RNA (253 nucleotides) under uncultured bacterium. RNAcentral's name for it is "partial 16S ribosomal RNA". It matches the Rfam family "Bacterial small subunit ribosomal RNA", at positions 524 to 776 of the family's 1533-position model. The record is from RNAcentral.